RNAcentral lists this transfer RNA (67 nucleotides) under Streptocephalus sirindhornae. RNAcentral describes it as "tRNA-Gln". Lineage: Eukaryota; Metazoa; Arthropoda; Branchiopoda; Anostraca; Streptocephalidae. The record is from RNAcentral.
UAUACAUUAGUGUAGGGUGCACGUAAGGUUUUGAUUCUUAAAGAGAAAUUUAAAUUUUCAUGUAUAA